CCUACGGGAGGCAGCAGUGGGGAAUCUUGCGCAAUGGGCGAAAGCCUGACGCAGCCAUGCCGCGUGAAUGAUGAAGGUCUUAGGAUUGUAAAAUUCUUUCACCGAGGACGAUAAUGACGGUACUCGGAGAAGAAGCCCCGGCUAACUUCGUGCCAGCAGCCGCGGUAAUACGAAGGGGGCUAGCGUUGCUCGGAAUUACUGGGCGUAAAGGGAGCGUAGGCGGAUAGUUUAGUCAGAGGUGAAAGCCCAGGGCUCAACCUUGGAAUUGCCUUUGAUACUGGCUAUCUUGAGUACGGAAGAGGUAUGUGGAACUCCGAGUGUAGAGGUGAAAUUCGUAGAUAUUCGGAAGAACACCAGUGGCGAAGGCGACAUACUGGUCCGUUACUGACGCUGAGGCUCGAAAGCGUGGGGAGCAAACAGGAUUAGAUACCCUGGUAGUCCACGCUGUAAACGAUGAGCGCUAGUUGUCGGCAUGCAUGCAUGUCGGUGACGCAGCUAACGCAUUAAGCACUCCGCCGUCGGGAGGUACGGUCGCGAAGAAGUUAAAACUAACAAAGUAAGUAAGUAGACGCGAGAGAGCGACGACGACGACGACGAGGAGGAGG
This 605-nucleotide ribosomal RNA is filed under the name uncultured bacterium. Its description in RNAcentral is "bacterial SSU rRNA". The stretch from base 1 to 517 matches the Rfam family "Bacterial small subunit ribosomal RNA", at positions 338 to 873 of the family's 1533-position model. The record is from RNAcentral.